RNAcentral lists this ribosomal RNA (486 nucleotides) under uncultured bacterium. RNAcentral describes it as "bacterial SSU rRNA". It matches the Rfam family "Bacterial small subunit ribosomal RNA", at positions 30 to 511 of the family's 1533-position model. The record is from RNAcentral.
AUUGAACGCUGGCGGCAGGCCUAACACAUGCAAGUCGAGCGGAUGAGAAGAGCUUGCUCUUCGAUUCAGCGGCGGACGGGUGAGUAAUGCCUAGGAAUCUGCCUGGUAGUGGGGGACAACGUUUCGAAAGGAACGCUAAUACCGCAUACGUCCUACGGGAGAAAGCAGGGGACCUUCGGGCCUUGCGCUAUCAGAUGAGCCUAGGUCGGAUUAGCUAGUUGGUGAGGUAAUGGCUCACCAAGGCUACGAUCCGUAACUGGUCUGAGAGGAUGAUCAGUCACACUGGAACUGAGACACGGUCCAGACUCCUACGGGAGGCAGCAGUGGGGAAUAUUGGACAAUGGGCGAAAGCCUGAUCCAGCCAUGCCGCGUGUGUGAGAAGGUCUUCGGAUUGUAAAGCACUUUAAGUUGGGAGAAGGGCAGUAACUUAAUACGUUGCUGUUUUGACGUUACCGACAGAAUAAGCACCGGCUAACUCUGUGCCAG